RNAcentral lists this ribosomal RNA (452 nucleotides) under uncultured bacterium. RNAcentral describes it as "bacterial SSU rRNA". It matches the Rfam family "Bacterial small subunit ribosomal RNA", at positions 340 to 786 of the family's 1533-position model. The record is from RNAcentral.
UACGGAAGGCAGCAGUGGGGAAUAUUGCACAAUGGGCGCAAGCCUGAUGCAGCCAUGCCGCGUGUAUGAAGAAGGCCUUCGGGUUGUAAAGUACUUUCAGUCGUGAGGAAGGUGUUAAGGUUAAUAACCUUAGCAAUUGACGUUAGCGACAGAAGAAGCACCGGCUAACUCCGUGCCAGCAGCCGCGGUAAUACGGAGGGUGCGAGCGUUAAUCGGAAUUACUGGGCGUAAAGGGCACGCAGGCGGUUAAUUAAGUUGGAUGUGAAAUCCCCGGGCUUAACCUGGGAAUGGCAUUCAAGACUGGUUAGCUAGAGUCUUGUAGAGGGGGUAGAAUUCCGAUGUGUAGCGGUGAAAUGCGUAGAGAUGUGGAGGAAUACCGGUGGCGAAGGCGGCCCCUGGACAAGACUGACGCUCAUGUGCGAAAGCGUGGGGAGCAAACAGGAUUAGAUACC